AACGAACGCUGGCGGCAGGCCUAACACAUGCAAGUCGAGCGCCCGGAUUUAUCCGGGAGCGGCGCACGGGUGAGUAACGCGUGGGAACAUGCCCCGAGGUACGGAACAACCUGGGGAAACCUUGGCUAAUACCGUAUACGCCCUGAGGGGGAAAGAUUUAUCGCUUUGGGAUUGGCCCGCGUUGGAUUAGCUGGUUGGUGUGGUAACGGCGCACCAAGGCGACGAUCCAUAACUGGUCUGAGAGGAUGACCAGUCACACUGGGACUGAGACACGGCCCAGACUCCUACGGGAGGCAGCAGUGGGGAAUAUUGGACAAUGGGCGAAAGCCUGAUCCAGCCAUGCCGCGUGAGUGAAGAAGGCCUUCGGGUUGUAAAGCUCUUUCAGCGGGGACGAUGAUGACGGUACCCGCAGAAGAAGCCCCGGCUAAUUUCGUGCCAGCCGCCGCGGUAA
Molecule: ribosomal RNA, 451 nt
Filed under: uncultured bacterium
Lineage: Bacteria
Description: partial 16S ribosomal RNA
Rfam family: Bacterial small subunit ribosomal RNA
Source: RNAcentral